This is a long non-coding RNA of Phyllostomus discolor (pale spear-nosed bat), 2105 nucleotides long. RefSeq lists it as uncharacterized. The transcript is spliced from 2 exons. NCBI's taxonomy places the organism in Eukaryota, Metazoa, Chordata, Mammalia, Chiroptera, Phyllostomidae. The record is from RefSeq and is a predicted model, not a curated record.
GGACUGAAACAUGUAUAGUUUUGUUAACCAGUGUCAGCCCAAUAACUUCAAUAAAAAGGAUAAAACAUGUGAGAGGGGAGGGGAACAGAUUACUUGAAGCAACAUGUUGAGUUUGCAGUUUUGACAGUUCUGGUGUGCUUCUGACAAUCGCAGAGAUUUCCUUUACUCUGCAAAGUUAGGGAGCACAUAUCCCUAGGUCCCCCCAAUGUUCUAGGUAUGCUCCCCCGGGGUCAGAGAAUCAACAGUGGGUGUGUAAUGUGCAUUGCAGCUAAUAGUGGAUGGGGGAGGGGACUAUAUAGGAAGAGGAAUAUGAAGCCUUGACAAACGAUGGUAUGCCAAUGAUUUAAUUAAAUCAUUAAUAAGGGAAUCUGCAGGGUUACAAGGCUAGUUUAAAAGAAGAUACGAGAACAAAGAUUUUGUGCACUCCGAGAACACAAAGGAAUGCUGAAGUACGAUUGCAAAGUCAGAUACAAAACUGGUUAAUGUCCUGCAGAGCAACAAAACAGUAACUUUAGGAUUAUUUUGUUCUACCAGAUAGAAUUCAUUUGCAUCUCUACUGAACAGAAAAGUCAUUUACAUUUUAACAGCUUUUACAAGUAUCAUCUAAUUUUACAGAGUUAUGCAUGUUUGGACUCCAUUUGAUAGUAAAUAGCAAGCAGAAGUUACCUUCCCCUAGGGAGCCAGAUGACCCCCAGAUGGGCUUGUUAGACGUUGCUUUAUUUUAAUAUUGAAAGAGUUUUUGUCCUCCACCCCAAGUUUUAAUAUUCUUCUUAACAGAGAGAAAAAUCACCCUUUUGCUUUAAUGGGUAUCAAAUAAGGGGGAACAAUAGUGAAUGCCCGUGACAUAACGCCCAAGCAGUGGGGCCCCAGGGCCCUCUGCCUGGCUUUGCAGCUGACGGGCAGUGUGACCCUAAAUCUGAUCUAACUGGAGCCCAGCGUCCUCAUCUAUAAAAUGGGGCUAUUGAACUGCACACUUGGCAAGACUUUGCCCUAAGGGCCAUUUUCAAAAUAAUAAUUCAAAAAUGCACCACACCCUUUUCAAAAAAGGAAGCGGGAAACAGCCACAGAAGCAAGUAUGUGAAACGCUCUGGGCUGGGAGAGGAUCGUUAUAAGUUGACAGGCGUUGCCACUUCAGUUGAGUGUGGGGCAGGAGGCUGGUGACAUCACACUUCUCUGUUAAAAGUCAAUUACUCACUUCUCCCACCCGCGCUGGAGCCACGGCUGACAGCGGACCGAUGGGCAUCUCUCUGCAGGCCCAGCCCAGCGGCCCCUCCCUGCGGGCGGUGCCGGAAACCCAGCCAGCUCGGCCGAGAUCCGUCCUCCCCGCAGAGGGGGACCUGCCGCCUCCUGGGCUCAGCGCCAGAAUCUCCCUGGUUCACUGUAUCAAUGAGCCGCCCUUGUUUUGUUAAACACACACCGCAGUUUCAGGCAACACUUGCCAGUUGCCAUGGGCGUUUUCUGUUUUGACAGAAGCAGGGACACACGAACCCCUCGACUUUGAGUCGCAGGUUGUGGAGGUUGGUGUCUCCGCUGCUUUAUCCGGAAGAAUGGAGAUCUGCACCUGCCAUUCUCACUUUCCUUCUCAAGUCACCUGACCUUGGCUGAGUUCCAGGUGUUUUCGCUUAGGCUUGAGCCAAGGACACCCUUUUUCCCUGUUGGGUGAGGAGAGGUCAAAGCCACAUCCGCUUUUCCUCUCUGUAGUGGACUUCAAAUGGGACCAGACCCGCAACAGGCCAAGAAUGAACUCUCUGCAGUAACACCAUGCAGGCACCCCAAACAGGAGGAACUCCUUGCUGAAGGGCAGAGGCUCUCCCCACUUACAGGACAGAGGUGGACAACUGUGGUCAGCCUACUCCACGACAUCCCUGAACCUGAUCCGGGUCAAUCAUUAAGUUCCCAGUGCACUGCCCAGACCAAAAAUCUCUCCCUCCCUUUCCGGGGAGAAACAUUUUUUUUCUUUUUAAAUUUCAAAAUCAUGAAGUAAGGGCCUUGAAAAUUAAUUUGCAAAUUUCUUUGCCUCUGGGGAAGGCAAGUCCAUUCACAUCUGAAAUUUUCCCUCAGUGCCUUAGGUGAUGCACUGACUGAGCUACUGAGCUCUCACUAUG